Molecule: ribosomal RNA, 321 nt
Filed under: Triticum aestivum (bread wheat)
Lineage: Eukaryota; Viridiplantae; Streptophyta; Magnoliopsida; Poales; Poaceae
Description: partial small subunit ribosomal RNA
Source: RNAcentral
AUGGAUUCUUCCGCCAGUAUUUUUUAUAUAUUCCAAAACUAUUCUUCGUUGAUUUUCAGGUCAUUCCGAGAACUUUUAUUUCUGCACAAAAAUAACACCACGGCAAUUCUGCUGAAAACAACGUCAGUCCGGGUUAGUUCAAUUCAAAUCAUGGAAUUUAGAGUCCAAAACAAGGGCAAAAGUGUUUGGAAAAGUAGAUACGAUGGAGACGUAUCAACUCCCCCAAGCUUAAACCUUUGCUUGUCCUCAAGGAAUUCAGUUGAUAAACUAAAAGUGAUAAAGAAAAACUUUUACAAACUCUAUUUGCUCUUAUUGUUGUAA